AAAGCUCGUAGUUGAACCUUGGGCCUGGCUGGCCGGUCCGCCUCACCGCGUGUACUGGUCCGGCCGGGCCUUUCCCUCUGUGGAACCCCAUGCCCUUCACUGGGUGUGGCGGGGAAACAGGACUUUUACUGUGAAAAAAUUAGAGUGCUCCAGGCAGGCCUAUGCUCGAAUACAUUAGCAUGGAAUAAUAGAAUAGGACGUGUGGUUCUAUUUUGUUGGUUUCUAGGACCGCCGUAAUGAUUAAUAGGGACAGUCGGGGGCAUCAGUAUUCAAUUGUCAGAGGUGAAAUUCUUGGAUUUAUUGAAGACUAACUACUGCGAAAGCAUUUGCCAAGGAUGUUUUCAUUAAUCAGGAACGAAAGUUAGGGGAUCGAAGACGAUCAGAUACCGUCGUAGUCUUAACCAUAAACUAUGCCGACUAGGGAUCGGACGGUGUUAUUUUUUGACCCGUUCGGCA
Molecule: ribosomal RNA, 456 nt
Filed under: uncultured Fusarium
Lineage: Eukaryota; Fungi; Ascomycota; Sordariomycetes; Hypocreales; Nectriaceae
Description: SSU rRNA
Rfam family: Eukaryotic small subunit ribosomal RNA
Source: RNAcentral